RNAcentral lists this ribosomal RNA (253 nucleotides) under uncultured bacterium. Its description in RNAcentral is "partial 16S ribosomal RNA". It matches the Rfam family "Bacterial small subunit ribosomal RNA", at positions 524 to 776 of the family's 1533-position model. The record is from RNAcentral.
UACGAAGGGGGCUAGCGUUGCUCGGAAUCACUGGGCGUAAAGCGCACGUAGGCGGCUUUUUAAGUCAGGGGUGAAAUCCUGGAGCUCAACUCCAGAACUGCCUUUGAUACUGAGAAGCUUGAGUCCGGGAGAGGUGAGUGGAACUGCGAGUGUAGAGGUGAAAUUCGUAGAUAUUCGCAAGAACACCAGUGGCGAAGGCGGCUCACUGGCCCGGUGCUGACGCUGAGGUGCGAAAGCGUGGGGAGCAAACAGG